Molecule: unclassified non-coding RNA, 231 nt
Filed under: plant metagenome
Description: partial contains small subunit ribosomal RNA, internal transcribed spacer 1, and 5.8S ribosomal RNA
Source: RNAcentral
UCUCCGUUGGUGAACCAGCGGAGGGAUCAUUACCGAGUUCCAGCAACUCCCAACCCUUGCGAACCGUACCCCAGUCUGUUCUCGUUGCUUCCGGCAGGCGGGGGGGGCCACCUGGCCCCUCCCCCUGCCGGGGGGGGCGGGCCCUCUGAACCUUUAUGUCUCAACCACUGAAACCCGUCUGAGCAAAACAAAAAAUAAUCAAAACUUUCAACAACGGAUCUCUUGGCUCUG